GUAGGGAAUAUUGGGCAAUGGAGGCAACUCUGACCCAGCCAUGCCGCGUGCAGGAUGACGGCCCUCUGGGUUGUAAACUGCUUUUAUACGGUAAGAAAAAAUACUACGUGUAGUAUACUGACGGUACCGUAAGAAUAAGGAUCGGCUAACUCCGUGCCAGCAGCCGCGGUAAUACGGAGGAUCCAAGCGUUGUCCGGAUUUAUUGGGUUUAAAGGGUGCGUAGGCGGAUCUUUAAGUCAGUGGUGAAAGCCUGCAGCUUAACUGUAGAAUUGCCAUUGAAACUGAAGAUCUUGAAUGUGGUUAAAGUAGGCGGAAUGUAUCAUGUAGCGGUGAAAUGCUUAGAUAUGAUACAGAACACCGAUAGCGAAGGCAGCUUGCUGAACCAUUAUUGACGCUGCGGCACGAAAGCGUGGGGAGCGAACAGGAUUAGAUACCCGAGUAGUCC
Molecule: ribosomal RNA, 445 nt
Filed under: uncultured bacterium
Lineage: Bacteria
Description: partial 16S ribosomal RNA
Rfam family: Bacterial small subunit ribosomal RNA
Source: RNAcentral